CCUACGGGAGGCAGCAGUGGGGAAUAUUGGGCAAUGGGCGCAAGCCUGACCCAGCAACGCCGCGUGAAGGAAGAAGGCUUUCGGGUUGUAAACUUCUUUUCUCAGGGACGAAGAAAGUGACGGUACCUGAUGAAUAAGCCACGGCUAACUACGUGCCAGCAGCCGCGGUAAUACGUAGGUGGCAAGCGUUAUCCGGAUUUACUGGGUGUAAAGGGCGUGUAGGCGGGAGAGCAAGUCAGAUGUGAAAACUCAGGGCUCAACCCCGAGCCUGCAUUUGAAACUGUUUUUCUUGAGUGCUGGAGAGGCAAACGGAAUUCCGAGUGUAGCGGUGAAAUGCGUAGAUAUUAGGAGGAACACCAGUGGCGAAGGCGGACUGCUGGACAGUAACUGACGCUGAGGCGCGAAAGCGUGGGGAGCAAACAGGAUUAGAUACCCCAGUAGUC
This 443-nucleotide ribosomal RNA is filed under the name uncultured bacterium. Its description in RNAcentral is "partial 16S ribosomal RNA". It matches the Rfam family "Bacterial small subunit ribosomal RNA", at positions 338 to 795 of the family's 1533-position model. The record is from RNAcentral.